CAGUCGCCGCGGUAAUACGAAGGGGGCUAGCGUUGUUCGGAAUUACUGGGCGUAAAGCGCACGUAGGCGGACAUUUAAGUCAGGGGUGAAAUCCCGGGGCUCAACCCCGGAACUGCCUUUGAUACUGGGUGUCUAGAGUAUGGAAGAGGUGAGUGGAAUUCCGAGUGUAGAGGUGAAAUUCGUAGAUAUUCGGAGGAACACCAGUGGCGAAGGCGGCUCACUGGUCCAUUACUGACGCUGAGGUGCGAAAGCGUGGGGAGCAAACAGGAUUAGAUACCCGGGUAGUCCCUGUCUCUUAUAC
RNAcentral lists this ribosomal RNA (301 nucleotides) under uncultured bacterium. RNAcentral's name for it is "partial 16S ribosomal RNA". It matches the Rfam family "Bacterial small subunit ribosomal RNA", at positions 509 to 807 of the family's 1533-position model. The record is from RNAcentral.